AUUGAACGCUGGCGGCAUGCUUUACACAUGCAAGUCGAACGGUAACAGGCCGCCAGGUGCUGACGAGUGGCGAACGGGUGAGUAAUGCAUCGGAACGUGCCCAGUCGUGGGGGAUAACUACUCGAAAGAGUAGCUAAUACCGCAUACGAUCUAUGGAUGAAAGCGGGGGACCGUAAGGCCUCGCGCGAUUGGAGCGGCCGCUGUCAGAUUAGGUAGUUGGUGGGGUAAAGGCUCACCAAGCCAACGAUCUGUAGCUGGUCUGAGAGGACGACCAGCCACACUGGGACUGAGACACGGCCCAGACUCCUACGGGAGGCAGCAGUGGGGAAUUUUGGACAAUGGGCGCAAGCCUGAUCCAGCAAUGCCGCGUGCAGGAAGAAGGCCUUCGGGUUGUAAACUGCUUUUGUACGGAACGAAACGGCUCUGGUUAAUACCCGGGGCUAAUGACGGUACCGUAAGAAUAAGCACCGGCUAACUACGUG
Molecule: ribosomal RNA, 482 nt
Filed under: uncultured bacterium
Lineage: Bacteria
Description: partial 16S ribosomal RNA
Rfam family: Bacterial small subunit ribosomal RNA
Source: RNAcentral